This 8294-nucleotide long non-coding RNA is filed under the name Podarcis lilfordi (Lilford's wall lizard). The stretch from base 6671 to 6747 matches the Rfam family "mir-1 microRNA precursor family". The record is from RNAcentral. Lineage: Eukaryota; Metazoa; Chordata; Lepidosauria; Squamata; Lacertidae.
CCCCUUCGAAGAAAGACACAGAUAUCCCCCCCCAAUCCUCAAAGACCUAAACAUUCCAAGCUUCUUUCAUUAUAAAAUUAAUUUAUUGUGUGUCUGUGUACGCGCACAUGCAAUCCAAGCGAUGCUCACUGUGAUCGACUUAUGCUGCAGCAGCUAAAAUAUCUGUCCUUCAGGUCAAUCUAAUCAUGCUUAAUAGCAGUUUAGUCCUCAAUGCAACAUUUUUCACAUUUGGUCGACAGUUUUAAGUAAGACUGCUGAUGCACUCCUUUCUUAGGCUUGUUUUUUUUAAAAAAAAAAAAACAAAACCCAGGCCGGCGCAUGCACAGAGAUACUUGCGCAAUAAAAUGCUUUAUUGCUCUUGAUGAACGCACUAUUAAACUUCAAUUGCAAGCUGCCAUCUUCUUUAUUAUUAUUAUUUAUUUAGAAACAGGGUGUGGAAGUGUAUUUAUCUGGUCACCUGAUUCCCAAGGGCUAAGAAGAAAUAAAAACGUCUGCACACAUAUUGUGUCAGCUUAAGCAAACAAAACCAUUCAAAAAGUUGCACCGAAAAGCCGGCAAAAUAGCCACUGUAUAUUCAAGGACUCUCUCCCCCUCCAACCUUACAUGUAAAAUGUUCAUUUAUGGAUUUUAUUUUUUUAUUCUUUUUUUUUCCUAAAAAAAGUCUGGAUUUUGUGGGGCAUAGAGUAUGAAAAUGUAACUAAUUUGGUUCAGUGGAUUUAUGGCUUUUUACAAUCCUCGGAGCUACUGUUUUUCACAACUGCCUCUUAAAACAAAAUCCUCGCUUAGCUGUUUGGAUGACAGCUCUCGAAUUUCUCAACUUGUCCUGAUGGAAUGACUUGCCUCGCGCGGCUGAGCCACGCCAAAGAACUUCAGGAACGACGCCCGUGAUAAAGUGAGCAGGACUAGGUGCCUGUCUUUUGCCUGUUUGCUUUAUUCCAUUAUUUUUUCCUGAGUGGCUCCUCUCAUAAUUAUUUCACAGGGGAAGGAGUUUGGAAAUCAGCUGCAUUUUGAACAGCAAAAGGGGGGGGGGAGGAAAUCCAAUGAGGUAAGAUCAGCAGAUCUACAACGGAAGUCAUAAAAAGAAAUGCAAACCCCCCAAAUGGGCCAUUAAAGACAAUGAUAAAACCUCACUUCGGUUCAAUCCAUUCCGAACAUUUGUUUUAAAGUUACCCUGUAUUUAUUUUUUUCAAUUUCAUCCUAAUGCAUCCCUUUAAAAAAAAAAGCUCAUAAUUAGAGGGCCAGAAAACUAAAUUAAAAAUACACACAAUACAUGCAGGCUUCUGUUAAAAAUGUUUUCUACCUAAUUACACCUUUCAGGCUUCCUUCCUCCAUCCUCUUUAACUCAGUUGUUAAAACACCUAAAAAGGCAAGCCCCCCAAAUUUGCAGCUGCCAACAUAUUUACAUACACAUUUAAAUCUGCAUGGUUUAGUUACUCACUUCCUAAUGCAAUUCCCUUUGAUUAACAAGCAUAUUAAUUCAGAGGGGAGAGAAUUAAAAGUAAAUCAAAAUGGCAUUGAAGAUGCAUUUCGCUCAAGUAAAUCAGCCCUGGAAAUCGAGCAAUCCUUUAAAAAAAGCGAAAUGAAUAUGUCAGUGAAACCCACGUUAAAAGGGAAAUGUGACCAUCAGCUAGGGUGCAUAGAGAGGUCCCCUGAAAGGAUUGUCCCUUAUUCCAGAAUAAUUGCAGUUCAUGAAGAACAUAAUGGACGUCUUUCAGCACUCUACACAACAGAAGUCCAGAGCUCUGCAGUUUUCCUCCUUUUCAAACAUUUUGCACCUAUAUCUCAUGGAACAACAGGCAGAUUCCCACCCCCCAAAGCAAGGUGUGUCCCAGAGGGAUAAGUCUCGUUUUAUAUUUGCGAUAGUGACAGCAUUUGUCCCUUUUUUAAAUUUAGUGUGCCCAGACAAAUGUCGGUGAUUUAUAGCCCAGGGAAAGCUGCAAACUUAAGCCUAGGAAAUAUCAUUUUACUGCUCUGCCAAGGCUAAUUCCAAAACACUAAUGCUUUAAUUUUAAACACCACAUCAUCCCAUAAAAUGUUAAUGCUAAGCAGGGACUAGGGGUCUUUUAUCGCCCUGAAAUAGUUUAGCAGGCUCAAAGGUCUGCUCCUCUAUCAGUAGCAGAUGACUUCAGGGAAGAAGAAAUAAACAUUUUCUGGAGGAAAGAAACCAGCAAUAUGUACGGUAUAUGUUCUAAGGGGUUAUGCAGAACUACAGAGUUAUAGAAUUUGAAUACAAACCAGUUUAGCUGGAUCAAAUCUAUCCUAAAGUUAAAUCCAGCUAAGUCAUACUAAGAAUAAAAGGUAAAGGGACCCCUGACCAUUAGGUCCAGUUAUGGCUGACUCUGGGGUUGUGGCGCUCAUCUUGCUCUAUAGGCCGAGGGAGCCGGCGUACAGCUUCCGGGUCAUGUGGCCAGCAUGGCUAAGCCACUUCUGGCCAACCAGAGCAGCCUUUUACCUUCCCGCCGGAGCGGUACCUAUUUAUCUACUUGCACUUUGACGUGCUUUCGAACUGCUAGGUUGGCAGGAGCAGGGACCGAGCAACGGGAGCUCACCCCGUUGCUGGGAUUCGAACCGCCAACCUUCUGAUCAGCAAGUCCUAGGCUCUGUGGUUUAACCCACAGCACCACCCGCGUCCCCAUACUAAGAAUAGGCCCAUAGAAAUCAGUGGGCUUGAUUAACUCAACCCCGUUUAUUUCAGUUUGUCGACACAAAAGAUGACUUUAAUACAACUCGUCAUUUUUCUGCCUUAACUUAAAUCCCCCCUCUGCCCCCUAAAUUAUCUCAUUAGGCAAUCGUAGGCAAGCUACUCACUCUGUACUUCAACCUUCCCGUAUGCAAUAAGAUAUUCCAACCUGCCUUACUAAAACUGCUGUCAUGCACCUGUAGUGUUUUUAACAAACCCACACACCAUAUAAAUCCCAAACAUUAUUAUUGAUUCUAUGCAAAUCUACCUAGUAAGAAAACUCACUGAAAUUAUUGGACCUUACUUCCACAUUAUAGGCACAAUUUGGAAAAAAUUGAGGAGGGUCUUAAGAACCAUUAAAUUAUUUGGAUCUGUGCUUUCUUUUAUUGGAAGUAAGUCUUCUUCAAAAUUAAGGCCUGUACUGAUCCACAUGCAUAUGUGUGUAUGAAAGGGAGAAAGACAGAGAAAAAGGGUGGUAUCCAACUAAAAUGUCCCAUCAGUCCAAUGAUUUCUGUUCUGUGAAACUUCCCCCGUCUCCUGUCCUCAUGCAUGUCCUAGCCCGUCCCAAAUCUGUUCCAGAUGGUCGGAGGAAAACCUGGUACUCUUUAGGGCAGGCAUAGGCAAACUCAGCCCUCCAGAUGUUUUGGGACUACAACUCCCAUCACCCCUGACCGCUGGUUCUGUUAGCUAGGGAUGAUGGGAGUUGUAGUCCCAAAACAUCUGGAGGACCUAGUUUGCCUAUGCCUGAUUUAGGGGGCAGGUGGGGAGAGGAUGCUUGGGGAAAGAAGGUGGGGCAAGUUCCAGAAAUACUUCCACUUAUUGAACACAAUACUUAACACUAAAAUAGGUACAACCCAAAGUUCUGGGCGGGCCACUGUGCCAGGCGGGUGUUUUGCAUCCACCAUAGUAGAUCACAAAUUAGUUUGCCCUAAAAUCAGAAGGUCCUAUUUCCAUAUCACGUGUAGCCAGGGCUGCCUCAUCCACAAGGCAGACUGAGGCAUCUGCCUCAGGUGGCAGAAUCCAAGGGACUCCCGCUUCCGGUGAUAUCUUGCAAGAGCCCCAUGCGAUCUCGUGGAGGCCUUUGUGCAGUCUCAAGAAGAAGAAGAAGAGUUUGGAUUUGAUAUCCCGCUUUAUCACUACCCUAAAGAGUCUCAAAGCGGCUCGCAAUCUCCUUUCCCUUCCUCCCCCACAACAAACACUCUGUGAGGUGAGUGGGGCUGAGAGACUUCAGAGAAGUGUGACUAGCCCAAGGUCACCCAGCAGCUGCAUGUGGAGGAGCGGAGACGCGAACCCGGUUCACCAGAUUACAAGUCCACAGCUCUUAACCACUACAUCACACUGGCUCUCAAGGGGUUCUGCUGUGAUCUCCCCUGAACCUGGAAGCUGCAGGAAGCCACACAACCUGAACCUGGAAGCCACACAACCCCGGUAAGCAAGGCUUUGGGCCAGGAUCUCAAUAUAGGGCAGGCAGGCGGUGCACAUCAUGUACAACAACUUCUCUUUUUUUGCCUCAGGCGGCAAAACAGGAUCAACCGCCCCUGAGUAUUAAGCCCUAUUAAUAAGGUGCUUAAUUUUCUCCAGAGUGGGUCAAUGGCAAGGAAGUAAGUGGUGUAUCUAGUCAAGAGUGCCCAGCUUGCUCAAGAAAGGGGUGGUUUGAUUUGUUUAGAAAAUGGGGCCAUUUGUGACUUUUAAAAUGGGGCAAUCCACUGUGGACAACCACAGUCCCUAGAUUUCAAAAGAGGAGGGUUUAUGCCCUCCCGCUUUAUGAUAGACAACUCAUGCCUCUCCGAGAGAGAGAUAUAUAAAUGGUGGCUUGGCCACAUGCAAUUCGCCUUAGACCUUCCUGAAGCUGCUAGAAGAAUGAAAGCAGGGUAGUAGAUGGAAGACUGUGAGUCAGCUCUCUCGUCUCUGCCCCUCUCCUGCAGCCUCCACCACCAUUUGCCAAUUUAGCUCCCUAAACUUAGAGUGAGAACUUGCUAUUCAAGCCAAAGGUCACCGCUUUUGGCAGCCUAGCGUUAACCCAGAUUACUGCUCCCUCUUCCACCUGUUGUAGGCUCCAGAGAGGCUGGCAUGAGUGGGAUUCUCCUAAAGAGCAAAGGGCACAUGAUGCCAGGAUCAGCAAGGCCAUUUGCCUUCCCUGGUCCACUGCCAACACAUCAAAACAUUUUUUUAAAAAGAAGAAAAGAAAGAAAGAAAUGUACUUUCUAGAUCUCUGCAGUAGCUCGAGCUUUGGCUCCGGCCCAAAUUCAUGUUCUCAUCCAAAUCAGUGCAUUAAACAAAAUCUGAUUGGCCGCCGUUAGAGAUACCAGCCUCACUAUUUCUGCAGUCACAUCAUCGAUACAGAAUUUGCAAAAGAAUGAGAGGGAUGAAGGAGUGAAAGAAAGAAAGAAAGAAAGAAAGAAAGAAAGAAAGAAAGAAGCCUUUUCACAAUAUUUGUUGACUGAACUACAAGAUAAAACCCACUUCUGGUGUAUUUGGGGAAACAUUUAUCUAAUUUCAGCACCAACACCCACUUAUCAUCGAGUUUCUGCGAUCCACUUAAAUCCCCUUCCACAUAAGCAUGUAACAAGUGACAAUGGGACUUCCAUUGAGUAGAUCUGGGGAAGGAUUUGGGGGGAGGGUGGGGGGGAAGGAUGCCCUUCAAAAUCCUGCUUUUCUCUUUUAGCAGCACCAAACAACGCACAGAGCUAAGGUUUCCAAAGACAGCAUCUGUCUGCUGCUUGAUCAGCAUCUCAGAAAUGGGGCGGGGGGGGGGGGGAGAGGAAUCAAGACAUCAGGACUCUCAUGGCUUGUCAGAUGGCUGUGUGGCGUGCAGCAUCUUGGCAAACUAAGAAUAACUUGACGUCAGACCUGCAGGCAUUCCACUUGAGAACACAGUACGGUGCCACCAGUGAAAUAAGUUAAGGAAGAGUUAAUGUGUCACACCAGGGGCAGGUGGACAGUGGGGCCUGUCACUUGAUUCAAUUCACAACAUACAGUUCUUUGAGGAUUUUAGGAAUUUUAUCGCAUAUGACAGGGGUCCUUUUUUGGUUGUGGCGGACAGGUGUUAAGACAUUAAACAGACAAGAGAGUCAUAAUAUCAAAGGCCCAGCAAGAAGCAUUCAGACCUUUUGACAUCCCUCUUUUAAAAAAAUAAAAAUUUUGCAAAUGUGUUGUGGUGACAAAUAUAGCUGCAAAGCUCUGUCGACCCCUGACUAUAUCCUUUUUAAAUACCAAAACCCCCCAAAAUACCAAUGGAAUAGAUGGGAAAACCUGCCUGAACCACACAUAUGCCCACACCCUCUUAAAAUAAGAGGCAUGUGUGUAAUCAUGCACCUAUUCAAUAUCCUACAUUCUAAAGCAGAAGAGGUCGGUAUGAAUCUGCUUUUUACAGGCUGAAACAAAAAUAACUUUUAAACCCAGCAAAGGCGGAAGUUUCCAAACUCCGAUUAGCCCUAAAAAUGCCAUCCGUGUUUCCAAAGCCGUCCCGUUGCUCAAUAUGCCUCUGUCACGCAAGACGCAUGUACAUAUCCGCACAUAUAGAUUUGGGGUGUGUUUUCUUUCCUAUAGGAUUUUGAGUUCUGUCUUCUAUGUGGAAAGGGAGCCUUGCAAGCAGGCGAGGAAGGAGGCCCCCUAACCCUGCUUCUUUUCCCUCUUCUUCAUCUUCUUCUUCUUCUUUAAGGAAAAGAGAGCUUUGGAAAAGAGACCGAGAGCCCACAGAAGUGGACAGUGAGCUUUCCUCUGCCGUUGCCUUUCAAAGCCCAUACCGCAGUCAGCAUAUUGAAUAUUUAAUGUCCUCCUGAUGAACACUUCCACCUGCUGACACAGGCAAAGUGACAGAACAAUACAUGCGCUGGAACACGACCAUCAAUUGACUCCCCAGUCAGUCUGCCAUGUCAGGCAUUAAAUUAAAAAGAAAGAAAGAAAGAAAAAAGAGCAAACCUUUCUCUCUCUUUUAAGAUAUCCACACACACAUGCACACACCACAUUAGCGCCAUUGCGAAGGUCCGUACCUGAAAUACAUACUUCUUUACAUUCCAUAGUUUGCGAGGUUCAUAUGGGCAUAUAAAGAAGUAUGUCUCUCAAGCAGGUAGUUUUCGGGAUGGGCAUCUAAGAGGCUCGCCAGGUAGAAUCCACAGCGCAAGGAGGUCUGAAAAAGAGCAGGCGUCUCCGCCUCACCUCCCCAUCCCAUCCCACCAGCUGCCAGCUUACACAGACAGAGAUGUCCACCUACCUUGCCUCUGACUCAUCUCUGACCAUCCACAGAGACCUCUGUAGAGGCACCUUCUACCCCUCCUCCCCCCACAAGAACAGGACAGGACAAUACAGUGUGCAAAAAUGGGGUUUUCAAGCAAAUUUUGCAACAAUUAAUUUCCCCACAUAGUGGCACAGUUUAUUUCUUUAAAAAAAAAAAGCAAUAUGCAAUUAUAAACAGUUGUCUGUGUUAAUCCAAAAGCAAGCACAGAUUUGCAAAUCCACACACCUCAAGAAGGAUUUUCCCCCCUUUUAAAACCAUAGUCUAGAAACUUUCAGCUAUCAUAAAUAUGCCCAAUGCACAUUAUAAGGGAGUGAAGAAAAGGUUUAAUUUCUUUGCACACGCACUCAAGUAGAACAUAUUUCUUCCUUCCCUGUCGGCAUAUUAUAUAUAAAUACAGUCAGUGCUGACUCCCUCCUCCCCACCCCCACAACACACUUUUAAACAAAAAUGUUCAGCACAUCCACAGAUAAAAACCAAAGAGUCCACUUUAUAUACGUAAGAAAUCAACACAUUCCAUACAACGGGUGUAAGACAGCUCAUCAGAACGAAAGAAGGAAAAAGCUCACACACUCAAACACAGGAUAGAUCCCCCCCCCAUUUAGUCAGCGCAAAAAAACAUAAGAAAAAGGAGGGAGUUUCUUUCUUACCUCAGGCGUCCACUGAUAUAAUUUCCCCCCUUUUUGUAGGUCACCGUAAAUGAGUCUCAGCCUGAAGGAUAGGAAACCCAUAAAAGGAAAGGGCUCGGGGGUUUUCCCCCCCUUGGAGUCCCCCCUCUCUUUUUUUGGUGUGGAGGGGGCAGCAGAGAAGAGUUUUUCCCCCCUCUAAAGUAUCUUCUGGUUGAACUUUGUGACAUUAGAGGAUGCCCAAAAUAGACCUGAGGACAGGCAGAGAACAGGAGAAGCCCAAGGUGGAUGGGUGGAUGGGUGGAUAGAGCUGUUGAGUGUAGGCCGGAGUGGAAGUCGGAAGAGCUGCUCCUCGGAGGGUGAGGGUGUGUGUGUGUGCAUGCGUGAGUCUCCAUGUGUGUGAAACCUUGCCUCUUCCUCCUGCAUCAGGCGGUCUCUCUCUCUCUCUCUCUCUCUCUCUCUCUCUCUCUCUCUCAUCACUGGUUACCUCACAGCCACUCUGAGCUUUAAAGCCCCCUUAACAAUGAGGUCCGAGUAGCACCACUGAGAAUGACGAGUGCACUGAAUAGGAGACUAUUAUGAGCAGGAUUUAGACAUCCAGCAAAGCAGGAGGUCACACUGGGUGCAUAAUGCUCGUUCAGCAUUGCUGUAAUGGUGCGCUUUGCUUGCCCACUCACCUGCUCCAUCUGACGGCUACCUCUCUCUCUCUCUCUCUCUCUCUCUCUCUCUCUCUCUUUCUCUCCCUCCCUCCUCC